ACGCUCGACACCUACGGUAGGCAGCAGUCGGGAAUAUUGCGCAAUGGAGGGAACUCUGACGCAGUGACGCCGCGUAUAGGAAGAAGGUUUUCGGAUUGUAAACUAUUUUAGACAGGGAAGAAUAAAGACAGUACCUGUAGAAUAAGCUCCGGCUAACUACGUGCCGGCAGCCGCGGUAAUCUGAGCGGGGCUGGCAAGGC
Molecule: ribosomal RNA, 200 nt
Filed under: uncultured bacterium
Lineage: Bacteria
Description: partial 16S ribosomal RNA
Rfam family: Bacterial small subunit ribosomal RNA
Source: RNAcentral